GAUAACCAAAAAUCCGAGCCGGAUUGACAGUGGGUUCAGUAAUGACUCUGACAGAUGCAACCGUUGAAUCAUAAAGACCGCCCCAAAAUAAGGCUUUUGCGACCAACAACCAAGCACCUGCACCUAACAACAGUAAGUGAAUGCCGAUGAUUGUGGUCAUUUUGUCUUCAUCUUCCCA
Molecule: antisense RNA, 178 nt
Filed under: Nostoc sp. PCC 7120 = FACHB-418
Lineage: Bacteria; Bacillati; Cyanobacteriota; Cyanophyceae; Nostocales; Nostocaceae
Description: Nostoc sp. PCC 7120 Antisense RNA which regulates isiA expression
Rfam family: Antisense RNA which regulates isiA expression
Source: Rfam by way of RNAcentral